Molecule: long non-coding RNA, 726 nt
Filed under: Homo sapiens (human)
Lineage: Eukaryota; Metazoa; Chordata; Mammalia; Primates; Hominidae
Description: non-protein coding CNTFR-AS1:17
Source: RNAcentral
GAGGGUGGCAGAGCCCAGCCACCAGGGUCUGCUCCAUGCCUGGUCCCUGGAGAGGCCCUCACCCUCUCUGCUUUCACCCAACCCGACUGACACGGAGUAGGAGGUGGGAAUCAUGCAGGCAGGGAGCUUAGGAAGCCUGGUUCAAGAUUGCUUUGAAUGGCAGGCCCCCUGCUGUGCUCCUGGGGAGAGAGCCUGAAACCUGGAUGCUCGGGAGCCCCUCAGAUCCGUCAUCUGUCCCCGACACCCCUGUGAUCCUGAAACUGAGGCUCAGAGAGCAGAAGCAGCUUGGCCAAAGUCAUACAACUGGUAGUUGGUAAAGGAGCUGGCCUUGAACUCAGGGAUAUCUUGAAAGCCACUGUUGCUUCUAUGGACUCUAGCCAUUCAAAAGACCCCUCACCUUCUAUAAGACCCCAGGAGAUCCUCAGGGUCCAACUGCUCCCUUGAAAACAGGUCCCAGAUAUAUCUGCCAAAGGUAUGAUUAGGUGCCUAAACACAUACCAUGAGAAAGGGAUUCCAUGUCUUCCAAUCCUGCCCAGAGAUGCAGAGACACCACCACCCAGGGAGAGAUAGCCAGAAACUAAAAUAAGAUGUUAGAGACAGGUGGUUGAUAGUGACAGAUACAGCCACACCAAGACAGGCUCAAAGGGAGGAAGACUGAGGGGAAGCCAGAGACAGAGAGGGACACAUUAGGCCAAAGAAUGAGAGAGAUAGCUGGAAAAGGAGACA